AUAUCAAUAAGCGGAGGAAAAGAAACCAACAGGGAUUGCCUCAGUAACGGCGAGUGAAGCGGCAACAGCUCAAAUUUUAAAGCCGGCGUCUUUGGCGUCCGCGUUGUAAUUUGGAGAGGCAUCUUCGGUUUGGGCGCCAGCCUAUGUUCCUUGGAACAGGACGUCACAGAGGGUGAGAAUCCCGUGCCUGGCUGGCUGUCCCUUCCCAUGUGAAGUGUCUUCGACGAGUCGAGUUGUUUGGGAAUGCAGCUCAAAAUGGGUGGUAAAUUUCAUCUAAAGCUAAAUAUUGGCGGGAGACCGAUAGCGCACAAGUAGAGUGAUCGAAAGAUGAAAAGCACUUUGAAAAUAGAGUUAAAAAGUACGUGAAAUUGUUGAAAGGGAAGCGCUUGAGACCAGACUCGGCCGUAGGCGAUCGGCGGUCCCUCGGGGCCGUGCACUCGUCGGCGGUCGGGCCAGCAUCGGUUGAGACGGCGGGAUAAAGGCUCGAGGAAUGUGGCUCCAUUCCGUGGAGUGUUAUAGCCUCGAGCGCAAUGCCGCCAGCCUCGACCGAGGACCGCGCUCUUGAGCUAGGAUGCUGGCGUAAUGGUCUCCAGCGA
Molecule: ribosomal RNA, 596 nt
Filed under: uncultured fungus
Lineage: Eukaryota; Fungi
Description: eukaryotic LSU rRNA
Rfam family: Eukaryotic large subunit ribosomal RNA
Source: RNAcentral